Molecule: ribosomal RNA, 253 nt
Filed under: uncultured bacterium
Lineage: Bacteria
Description: partial 16S ribosomal RNA
Rfam family: Bacterial small subunit ribosomal RNA
Source: RNAcentral
UACGUAGGGGGCUAGCGUUGUCCGGAAUCAUUGGGCGUAAAGCGCGCGUAGGCGGCCCAGUAAGUCCGUUGUAAAAGUCAAAGGCUCAACCUUUGAAAGCCGAUGGAUACUGCUGGGCUAGAGUCCGGAAGAGGCGAGUGGAAUUCCUGGUGUAGCGGUGAAAUGCGUAGAUAUCAGGAGGAACACCGGUGGCGAAGGCGCACAUCUGGCCCGAUACUGACGCUGAGGCGCGAAAGCUAGGGGAGCAAACGGG